UCCAAGAGCUCAGAGAAGGCCAUGGAGAAGUGCUGGUGGACAAGAAAAUCACUGCUAUUGCAUGAGGAAUCUACUGCAUGAAAAAAAAGAUAUUUUUCUCAUCUGGGAAAGUAAAAUCUGCAUCUCAAGAGUAAAACAGUUUCUCACCAAUGUAGAAGAGUUCUUGGGGUUUGAUUUUUCAAUUGUCUACUUUGACUUUCAAGUUCUGCCUUGUGCCUAAGCUGGAGAUGUGUGGGCAUCCUGAUGACUGCAACAGAUUUUCAAGACUUGCCUGAAGCAUACACAGAGCUGAACUGACACAGAGUUUACUCAACACUGAGCUGGAACCAAAGUCACAGAGGUUGCAUUCUAAGAGCUGUGCAGAGAAUUUGGGCAGAGAACUGUGCUUCCACACCCACCUGGAUCAUUCCAGUAACAGGUAAGAUGUUUGUUUCUUGGAUUUCAGCACCAAACAGUUACAUCUUUGAUUAUAGCUUGUAGAUUUGUGACCCUUUUGAGCUCCUGAAGAUCUAUGUGUGUUGCCUGGUGCCUUGAUUACAAGUGCCAGUCACAUUUGAAGCAGAAAGAAAUGUAUUAUCCAAAAAGUGAUAAUACUGCACCUGCCUGGCCCCACUGCAUGUGCUCACACUCAGAAAGCUCUGCAAGAUCUUUUGAGUUAGAGAGGCACUGGGGGUUGGUCUGCAAGGGAAACUACAUGGAGGGGAAAACAAAGCUGGUAUGGGGGGGACAGAAAGAGGAGCCCUUCUGUGCCUCUGUUUGAACUCUGAGGGUGCCAAUCCUGUCCUAAGGGUUCAAAGGGAUAACAGAAAGAAGGAUUUUCAUGUGCACAGUACCUGUGCUAGUCCCAGUUUAAACUUAAAGGACAGGUGAGAAGAGAGGGAAGGAGCUGAAUGCUGCCUUAUACACUGGAGAAAUUGUUCCUUGAUGUGCAAUGCUGAGCUCUGUCAUGCUGCCAGAGUGACUGGGCCCCAGGCUGAGGCUGCCUAAGUGCUGGUUGCAGGAGUUAAAGCUGCCAGGGGAGUGCUAUAAAAGGACAAUGUCAAGGUUGGUCUACCCAAAAUAUCACCCUUUUUUAUUUUUUUUCUCUCCCUUACAUCUAUUUGCAAAGUUUAUGUCAUUCACUUUUAAGCUUUUACAAAUCCUUUAAUCUAAACCACAAUGUUUCAAUUGCUAUUGAGGGCAGUGAUUGAGAGGAGAGGCUGUGAGUGUUCAGUGUGGCAAUGCAGGUUUGUGAAUGAGGAAAGAGCCUGAAACAAAACUCUGGGAUGGGGACUGUCUGAAUUAGGUGAUAAUUAGAAAAUGAGAAUUCAGGCUGAAAUGUAGAAGAAAUAAAUGAAAAUAAGGAAAGCUAGUUUUUAUUAAUUGAAAAUACCAAUGCAGAACCAGCUAAGUUCACAAGAAGUUACUUCAAAACCUCUGUUUAUUUUCAUUCUAAUAGUUUUUAUUCUGGCUGUUUUUCUCCUGCUACUGCUUUCUCAGUAAUAGUAGAUAGUUGCACAUAAUUCCUGCCAUAACUGAAAUACACCCUUCCUUCUUUUCCUCGUUUGACAGCCUAAUUAAAACCACAGUAUAUAUUUUUUUCUAUAUUAUAUAAUAUCCUAAGACCCUCAUAACUCUCACAAAUAAUUUCUAUUCUAAUUGGAAAACAGAUGAACUAUCUGUGCAAGUCAUAAAAGAAAAAGGAGUAAGAUCAAGUAGUAAAAUCAAAGGUAAGAUUUUUUUUUUUCUUUACAUAACUGUGAUGCUUCCCAGAAAAGGCAGGAGGGAAUAAUCCCACACAACCCACUCCCCCUGAAAGAAGUCAAAGCCUCUUGGAGGAGUGCAGCUCAUCCCUGGUUUCAGCUCCAGGAAUCUCUGGCACUGAGAUGAAAUGAUCUUGCAAUCUGCUCUGUGAUAGCAGGAAGGCAGCCAGGUCUGACAGAUCCUUCACUUCCAGCUUGACUUUGCCAAACUUCCAGGAGUUCACUCCUGCUUCAAAAAGUCUUCCUAUGAACUGCAAGGCUCACUUCUGAUUUCCUUCUCAGCUCUGAAAAAACUAUGCAGCUUUUCUCAGAAACCCUGUGAGAAGAACACAAACUCACAGCCAGUCAGGCCUGACAGUCCCCUGCAGUGAGAGCUCAGCACACAUCCACAGAGACAAGUCCAGCACCUGAAAGAAAAAAAAAAAAAGAACCAGAAGAAAGAGAGCUGCUGCUUGAACUCCAGCUGUGCCAGGAACCAGCAGAGCUUCCAAGGAACCUCAGCAGCACUGGGACAGGGACAGCAAAGGGUGCACAUCAUCCCUGCCUUCAGCACAGCUCCAGUGGGACCCACCUGGGAAAGCUUUCCAUCCCUUCUGCACUUCCAGCUGGCUCCCUGGAAACUCCCACCUUCAUCCAAACAAGACUUCAUCCCAGCCAAACCUCUGAUUUUAAGGCAUCUCUGCAGGCUGUUGGUUGGAUUCAGUAUCUGUGAGCUGGGACACACAGGAACACCCAGGAGCAUUGCUGGCAGCGAGCAGGAGCCACCGAGGCCUCUGUGCAGCUCUGGGCCUCAAAAGCAGCCCCAGCUUCAGCAGCUGCUUCGUUUUGGCAAC
Long non-coding RNA from Oenanthe melanoleuca, 2575 nucleotides. RefSeq lists it as uncharacterized. The transcript has 8 exons. The record is from RefSeq and is a predicted model, not a curated record. NCBI's taxonomy places the organism in Eukaryota, Metazoa, Chordata, Aves, Passeriformes, Muscicapidae.